UAGGGAAUUUUUCACAAUGAGCGAAAGCUUGAUGGAGCAAUGCCGCGUGAACGAUGAAGGUCUUUAAGAUUGUAAAGUUCUUUUAUUUGGGAAGAAUGACUUUAGCAGGUAAUGGCUAGAGUUUGACUGUACCAUUUUGAAUAAGUGACGACUAACUAUGUGCCAGCAGUCGCGGUAAUACAUAGGUCGCAAGCGUUAUCCGGAUUUACUGGGCGUAAAGCAAGCGCAGGCGGAUUGAAAAGUCUGGUGUUAAAGGCAGCUGCUUAACAGUUGUAUGCAUUGGAAACUAUUAAUCUAGAGUGUGGUAGGGAGUUUUGGAAUUUCAUGUGGAGCGGUGAAAUGCGUAGAUAUAUGAAGGAACACCAGUGGCGAAGGCGAAAACUUAGGCCAUUACUGACGCUUAGGCUUGAAAGUGUGGGGAGCAAAUAGGAUUAGAUACCCUAGUAGUCCACACCGUAAACGAUAGAUACUAGCUGUCGGGGCGAUCCCCUCGGUAGUGAAGUUAACACAUUAAGUAUCUCGCCUGGGUAGUACAUUCGCAAGAAUG
This 547-nucleotide ribosomal RNA is filed under the name uncultured bacterium. Its description in RNAcentral is "bacterial SSU rRNA". It matches the Rfam family "Bacterial small subunit ribosomal RNA", at positions 355 to 896 of the family's 1533-position model. The record is from RNAcentral.